GACGAACGCUGGCGGCGUGCCUAACACAUGCAAGUCGAACGGAGAGGACAUGAAGUAUUUCGGUACGGAAUGCUCUCUUAGUGGCGAGCGGGUGAGUAACACGUGGGCAACCUGCCCCAGACUGGGGGAUAACAUUGUGAAAACAGUGCUAAUACCGCAUGACAGGGUUCCGGGCAUCCGGGACCCUUGAAAGGAGAAAUCCGGUCAGGGAUGGGCCCGCGGUCCAAUUAGCUAGUUGGCGGGGUAACGGCCCACCAAGGCGACGAUUGGUAGCCGAACUGAGAGGUUGAUCGGCCACAUUGGGACUGAGACACGGCCCAGACUCCUACGGGAGGCAGCAGUGGGGAAUAUUGGGCAAUGGGCGAAAGCCUGACCCAGCGACGCCGCGUGAGGAUGAAGGUCUUCGGAUUGGUAAACUUCUUUGAUCAGGGAAGAAAGAAAUGAACGGUACCUGAAAACAAGCCACGGCUAACUACGUG
Molecule: ribosomal RNA, 479 nt
Filed under: uncultured bacterium
Lineage: Bacteria
Description: bacterial SSU rRNA
Rfam family: Bacterial small subunit ribosomal RNA
Source: RNAcentral